Molecule: long non-coding RNA, 449 nt
Organism: Oncorhynchus keta (chum salmon)
Lineage: Eukaryota; Metazoa; Chordata; Actinopteri; Salmoniformes; Salmonidae
Exons: 3
Source: RefSeq, a predicted model, not a curated record
AGCUUUCACCUCAGCAGGCAAAGGGAGAGACACAUCUCCCAGAGACAGAGACAGAGGCUGGGGCACCCGGUCAGACACCUGCCCUGGCAGACCACACCUGGAGAGAGACAGAGAGAGAGACAGACAGACAGACAGACAGGUUAGACAGACCACACCUGGAGAGAGACAAAGAGAGAGAAACAGACAGACAAACAGACAGACAGGUUAGACAGACCACACCUGGAGAGAGACAAAGAGAGACAGACAGACAGAGAGACAGACAGACAGGUUAGACAGACCACACCUGGAGAGAGACAGGGAGAGAGACAGACAGACAGGUUAGACAGACCACACCUGUAGUGAGACAGAGAGAGAGAGAGAGACAGACAGACAGGUUAGACAGACCACACCUGGAGAGAGACAAAGAGAGAGAAACAGACAGACAAACAGACAGACAGGUUAGACAGACC